This 253-nucleotide ribosomal RNA is filed under the name uncultured bacterium. Its description in RNAcentral is "partial 16S ribosomal RNA". It matches the Rfam family "Bacterial small subunit ribosomal RNA", at positions 524 to 776 of the family's 1533-position model. The record is from RNAcentral.
UACGUAGGGUGCGAGCGUUGUCCGGAAUUAUUGGGCGUAAAGAGCUCGUAGGCGGUUUGUUGCGUCGGCUGUGAAAUCCCGAGGCUCAACCUCGGGUCUGCAGUCGAUACGAGCAAACUAGAGUGUUGCAGGGGAGACUGGAAUUCCUGGUGUAGCGGUGGAAUGCGCAGAUAUCAGGAGGAACACCAAUAGCGAAGGCAGCUCGCUGGGACGUUACUGACACUGAGGCGCGAAAGCGUGGGGAGCGAACAGG